CUAAGCGCCAGAACUGCGGUGCAGCCGGUAUCGCAGUUGACGAGGAAAGGGUUAAUCGAAAGUAUUCGGCGGGUGCCCUUCGGUCACAAGUGGGUUGAUCGUCAGCAGGCUGUUAAAACAUACGGGCGACCGUAUCGACAGAGCAGUUA
Molecule: non-coding RNA, 149 nt
Filed under: Agathobaculum butyriciproducens
Lineage: Bacteria; Bacillati; Bacillota; Clostridia; Eubacteriales; Butyricicoccaceae
Description: glmS glucosamine-6-phosphate activated ribozyme
Rfam family: glmS glucosamine-6-phosphate activated ribozyme aptamer
About the family: This entry contains a glucosamine-6-phosphate activated ribozyme that is found in the mRNA for GlmS. GlmS is an enzyme that uses fructose-6-phosphate and glutamine to generate glucosamine-6-phosphate.
Source: RNAcentral